CAGAGGAGCCCGCGCGUCCGCGCACGGGCUCCACGAGAUAGAACCCCUGUCUUUGUUUACCACCGUUUCCUCGGCGGGUCCGCCCGCCAGCGAGGACAACCCAAAACCUUUUGUAGUUAGCAGUAACCGUCUGAAAACAAAUCGUUUA
Molecule: unclassified non-coding RNA, 148 nt
Filed under: uncultured Ascomycota
Lineage: Eukaryota; Fungi; Ascomycota
Description: sequence contains ITS1
Source: RNAcentral